GACGAACGCUGGCGGCGUGCUUAACACAUGCAAGUCGAACGGAAAGGCCUUUUCGGAGUUACUCGAGUGGCGAACGGGUGAGUAACACGUGGGUGAUCUGCCCUGCACUCUGUGAUAAGCCUGGUAAACUGGGUCUAAUACCGGAUAGGACCGCACUUUAGUGUGUGUGGGGGAAAGUGUUUUCGGUGUAGGAUGAGCCCGCGGCCUAUCAGCUUGUUGGUGGGGUAAUGGCCUACCAAGGCGGCGACGGGUAGCCGGACUGAGAGGUUGGUCGGGCACAGUGGGAAUGAGAUACGGCCCAGAACCCCAACGGAGGGAGCAGUGGGGAAUAUUGACAAAUGGGCGGAAGCCUGAUGCAGCGACGCCGCGGGGGGGAUGACGGGCUUCGGGUUGUAAAACCGUUUCGCCAGGGACGAAGCGUUGUGUGACGGUACCUGGAGAAGAAGCACCGGCUAACUACGUG
This 463-nucleotide ribosomal RNA is filed under the name uncultured bacterium. RNAcentral describes it as "partial 16S ribosomal RNA". It matches the Rfam family "Bacterial small subunit ribosomal RNA", at positions 28 to 507 of the family's 1533-position model. The record is from RNAcentral.